Molecule: non-coding RNA, 1031 nt
Organism: Jatropha curcas
Lineage: Eukaryota; Viridiplantae; Streptophyta; Magnoliopsida; Malpighiales; Euphorbiaceae
Source: RefSeq, a predicted model, not a curated record
UUCGAACCAUUCUUACCUAUGCAAUCAUUAGCCAUCAGGAAUUAUCUGUUUUUUGAUAGGGCAGAAUUAUCUGCAUUACAUAAAAUUACAAUUCAUUUCGAACCAUUCUUACCUAUGCAAUCAUUAGCCAUCAGGAAUUAUCUGUUUUUUGAUAGGGCAGAAUUAUCUGCAUUACAUAAAAUUACAAUUCAUUUCGAACCAUUCUUACCUAUGCAAUCAUUAGCCAUCAGGAAUUAUCUGUUUUUUGAUAGGGCAGAAUUAUCUGCAUUACAUAAAAUUACAAUUCAUUUCGAACCAUUCUUACCUAUGCAAUCAUUAGCCAUCAGGAAUUAUCUGUUUUUUGAUAGGGCAGAAUUAUCUGCAUUACAUAAAAUUACAAUUCAUUUCGAACCAUUCUUACCUAUGCAAUCAUUAGCCAUCAGGAAUUAUCUGUUUUUUGAUAGGGCAGAAUUAUCUGCAUUACAUAAAAUUACAAUUCAUUUCGAACCAUUCUUACCUAUGCAAUCAUUAGUCAUCAGGAAUCAUCUGUUUCAUUUGAUAGGGCAGAAUUAAAGUGCUGCAGCUUUAUGGCAUAUAUUUUAUUUGUUCAAUUUCAUUUUCCUCAAAGUUCUUAGCUUUCUAUUAGGUCCGAUGAAGAAAUUGGGCCACUCUCUCCAAUAGCUGUCAGUCUUGCAGCUGGAUUUUCCGGUUCUAUUGCUUCUGCUGCAUCUCAUUGUUUUGACACUGCUAAAAUUCGAUCGCAGUCCACUGUGCUGCCCAGGUAUAUUUCAAUGGAGAGGAGAUUGUUAAAAUGGAGACGACCAGGUAAUUGGUUUGAGAGAGUUACAGGGAUCCACCCGGCAGACAGGAAUCUCUUGUUCCGUGGUAUCUGGUUGCGAAUGGCUCGGAGUGGGUUAGCGUCAUUUAUGAUUGUUGGAAGCUACUAUUUUGCUGUUGAUUAUAUUGUUUAUGAAUGAUACCAAGAAAGAAGAAAAAGGACAAAAAAAAAAAAAAAAAAAAAAAAAAAAAAAAAAAAAAAAAAAAAAGGAAAA